RNAcentral lists this long non-coding RNA (901 nucleotides) under Pan troglodytes (chimpanzee). Its description in RNAcentral is "long non-coding RNA NONPTRT010204". Lineage: Eukaryota; Metazoa; Chordata; Mammalia; Primates; Hominidae. The record is from RNAcentral.
GUUUGGGUGGUUACAGGGCUGUCUCCUGGUGAGGAGGGGAAGGGCAGCUGAGUAGGACCUGGUGGCCUCAUGGCGAUAGUCUUCUUCCUCCUUGGCAGUCUUGUGCCUCCUUCCUUCCAAUCCAGCCCUCAUUCUUUCCCUCUGCACAGAAAGGAUCAGCAUCUCCGGUACAGCCCCCAUCUGUGCUAGGAGAUGGCCGGGUGGGUGUGGAUGCUAAGACAACCGAUCCCCCUCAUGUUGGCCCGAGGAGGGCCCUGACCUGGAUACUGUGAGACCUUUUGAGGACAGCUGGCUCCUUUGUGGGAUCAGUUGGGUGUGGGGCAGGGCCUUGAUCUGAGCCAGCCCCUAGUUUCCAGCCUAGGUUCUCCUCACCACUGAUGGCCUAAGUGAUGUCUGUCUGUCCUGUGAUGGGGGGUUGCAGUUACCGCAGGAGGCCCUGGAUUAUGGCUCAGAUUCUUAUGGCUCCAUCCUUGCACCUUUCCCUGGCUCAGGUUUCUGUGGGGAGAAGGAGAGUGCCAGAGGUGACUGGUUCGUGGUUCUUCUAGGCUCUCAUGGCCACCAUGUUGGAAGGCAGAUGCCAAACUCAGCCAAGGAGCAGCCCCAGUGGCCGAGAGACUAGCCUGUGGUCGUCAGGCUUUGGGAUGAAGCUGGAGGCUGUCACUCCAUUCCUGGGGAAGUAUCGCCCCUUUGUGGGUCGCUGUUGCCAGACCUGCACCCCCAAGAGCUGGGAGUCCCUCUUCCACAGAAGCAUAAUGGACCUAGGCUUCUGCAAUGUGAUCCUGGUGAAGGAGGAGAACACAAGGUAGUCAGAGCUAUGGACUGGAGCAGGCUUGGGGACAGGGACCCUUGGGUGCAGGGCUGCUGGGGCCCUGCUUUUUGGUGCCAUUUUCUUCCUCUGAUA